CGGACUCCGAGAUCCAUAGACCUCGGCGAACCCUUGCUCUCGACCACCCACCCACUUUCGGAACCAUGGCCGCAGUGGCAGCAGCCUCGGCAGAACUGCUCAUCAUCGGCUGGUACAUCUUCCGCGUGCUGCUGCAGACCCUGUCCCCAGUGCGCCCGCGCCCAGCCGGGAACAAAGACUCAGGGGUGCGGCGGUCGCCCGCUGCGGACGAUCGCGACCAACGCGGUGUUCAGGUACUCCCUGCAGAAGCUGGCGCACACGGUGUCCCGGACCGGGCGGCAGGUGCUGGGGGAGCGCAGGCACCGAGCCCCCAACUGAGGCCCCAUCUCCCAGCCCUGGGCGGCCGUGUCAUCAGGUGCUCCUGUGCUUCUCGACCAGCAUGGGAGCCAAUGCCGCGCAGGAAUGGGGGGUCCCCUGUGCUCCCUCGUCAGAGGAGCACUUGCCAAGGUCAGUGAGGGGCCGGUAGGUCCCCAGAAAAGCAGCACCGACAAUGAUGAAGACAUCAGUUCCUUUCCCAGCCCCCUCCCCCCUUUGCCCCUGUCCCAUGGCCGGCGGGUGGGAGAGGAUGGGGGAAGAGGGGAGCAACCCUCGAGAUAUGGGCGUAGGCACCACAUUCUGAUCUGGACCAAGUUGGAACAGCACCAUCUCAGCCGCACAAGAUCCUACCAUGGAGAGCUAACACCCCACCAACCAGCAGAAUGGACAUUCUGACAUCACCAGCUGAAACCCUGAAUCUCGGUGCAGAAGAGAAAGUGUCAACUGCG
RNAcentral lists this long non-coding RNA (764 nucleotides) under Rattus norvegicus (Norway rat). Its description in RNAcentral is "long non-coding RNA NONRATT019895". Lineage: Eukaryota; Metazoa; Chordata; Mammalia; Rodentia; Muridae. The record is from RNAcentral.